AUGCACCCAGGGCCGGCCCUAAGCCAUGGCGAGGAGUGCAGCCACCUAGGGCCCAGCAUGUCCAGGGGCCCACCCUCUCUGUGCACAUGUAUUGAUACAUUUGAAGGGAAAAAACUGAGGAAGCGCCGCCGGUUCAUUCUUCUUCCCGUCCAAUCUUCUUCCUCUCCCAAUUAAUUGCACCAAGUCCCCAGGGGGCCGGGACCCAAGCGACGCUCAUGAAUGGAUUUUUAGCUGUAUCAUCUCCUUAAUUUCUUUGCCAGUGAGUUUUGUGCUACUAGUAGAUAGGUUCUUUCGUAAGUACCCAAGGCGACAAGGCCCUGGUGGUGACCUCCUUGGCACCGGCGACGAGCUGAAGAUGAACCACAUUUGGCUUGCCGCUAAGGCGUUGACACCAGCACCGGUCCAUAGCUAAAUUGUUCAUCCUAUGGAUUGUCUGCCUUUUCUUGCUUAUUGCGAAUUAUACGACGAUUCUCUUGCAUAAAAUUCUCACACAAGUAAUUGUUUCAUGUUAAA
This is a long non-coding RNA of Triticum aestivum (bread wheat), 513 nucleotides long. RefSeq lists it as uncharacterized. The record is from RefSeq and is a predicted model, not a curated record. NCBI's taxonomy places the organism in Eukaryota, Viridiplantae, Streptophyta, Magnoliopsida, Poales, Poaceae. The transcript is spliced from 2 exons.